GAUUACAACUAUUACAAAGAAAAGUUGCGACCUGAAAGUAUUCCCUUACAACUCAAUAUACUACUUCAGGUCAAAAAACAAACAUAAACAGGCUCGUAGAAAAAUAAACAUAUGUGGUUGUGGCCUAAAAGCAAGCCACUAAUAACAUAGUACCUACUUAGUUGACGGAUUAAAAGCACAAUAGACACUGCUUGUAUAGAACAGUGCAAGCUACAUAAUGGGAAAUUCAGCAAUUUACGAACCAUGACAGCAAGAGUUCAUGUGGGUAAUUCAGCAAUUUACGAAUCAAUGUGGUAUGAGCUCAAUGGUCAGUUUAGCAAUGUACAAAUUGAAAGGGCAAGAGCAUCUAAGAAGAACAUUAUUUGCAUUUUCGUCUUCGCAAGCAGUUAACAUAUGGAGAUCGCAGACAGUUACCAGAACCAUGACUACAAACACUGAUGUAUCUUGGACAAAUCUACUCGCAGCACCAGCCAUCCAUGAUGUCGCCUCCUUCUCGGUAGUGCUGGAACGGAUGAGUGUGGCGCCUCACAUUAAAUUACACACAACAAUACGUACACCAUUCGCGAGACAGGAGUACAUAAAUAGUUGAAUAAGUGCAGAAAAGGAGGCUGAAAAAUGGUUAGAGCUAAUCUAUGCAAUAUAGGAAUAAAUAAAUAAUCACCUCAACAUAAAUAGUCUUAGUUGAAGGUAAAACUCAAUGAUGUACUAUGAAUGUCGAGACUGGCACAUUGAAAACUACCAAAUGGCAUUGAGUAUUUCUUUCUUCGGAAACCUUCGCACAAACUAACAGUGAGCCUCUAGUUAACGAAUGACAAAUAUGAUGAUUAACAGUGAGCCGCUGCCGGUGUAUAUGUGUGUGUGCUUGCUGCAAGCUUUAGUAUAUGAAUGUUUGCACAUGAACAUGCAUAAAGCUCAGGUGUAGGUUGCAUCUAAAUGGGGUAUUGGGAUUCAGUUUUAUUUUCACUAUGAUGUACAGCGGUAGUAGAUAAGUACCUUUUUUAGAUUAGUAGAUAAGUACUUGGUAUAGAUGAAUCCUUUGCAUUGACUUGACCCAAGUGCAUAUAUAAUAACUGCAUGCUAUGAGAGCAGUGGCGGAGCAUGACACAAGAGGGGGCCAAAUCCAUCUAAAAACACACAAUAUGCACGAAAAAGCUACUCAUCAUAGAACAUGUGUAAGCGAUAAUUUGUAGGGAUCCUAUAAUUAUAUGACUAGAUAAUAUGUCGUUUCCAUUGUUGCUAUAUAUCUAAAUCAGGAAUUUAUAAUGAAUCAAACUUUCCAGCAUUUAGCAGAUGCAGUGGACAUCUAUAUGAAUAAAUUAUCAUCACACCUCGCUUCUCAGUUACCCUCUCAGUUCCAAUCAAAAAAUAGGACAUACACUUUCUGUAGUAAACUAACCAAGCAAUUAGCAAGGCAAGCACGAAGCACCAACCAGCAGUGUCCAAGGUGUUUGGUUUCAAUCAACAAAGGAGCCGCAACCCAGCAAGAGAAUUAAGGUCCAGUGCGCACUAGUGCUGGUGCGUCCACCGUCCGGUGUGGUGGCUUGCCGGCGUCAGCGGCGUGCAGCUCCAAGCCUCCAAUCGAUAAGGGGAUACACAAAUCGAUAAAGAGGAGGAGCCAAGGAGGUCAUCAGACGAAUGGACGAGUUUGCAGUGGUCGGUCACUCAAAUCAUGUUAGCGGACGAAGAGCGACCGAUGGUUCACAAUAGUUGUGGCCUGGUAGUGAUCUAGCCCUGCAGCAGCAGUCUAUCGGAGCCGUGGAGAAUCAGGGAUGGACGCUGUUCCUAGACUUCUACCGGGCAUUAUCUCCUGGGCUAUGCUAAAGUAGUGAAUAUACCUAGUAUAAAAUUCUUUUUGUAAUUUUGGAAGGGGGGGUCGUGGCCCAGUUUCACCUCCACUACCCUCCGCCAGUGUAUGAGAGGACAAUCACAUAACCAAAUGACAAAGAAAAUGUCUACUAUCUUAUUUAUCAGUGUUCUGAAUCAUAUCAACAGCAUCAAAGCAACAUCAUAGAAGAAACAAUGUGGAUUAUUAAUUCACCUGCUCACUAAACACAAAGGUGUACGUGCUUUCCCCAACAGGUCCACGUCCUCUAGUAUUUGAGCUGGACGUGAAAGCUACCAUUAGCAAGCUACUACCUCCACCUAAAUAACCUGACCAUCAGACUCCUGAAAAGUGUGAAAUUGCAACAAAAUCUUCGAUUAGUAACUCAUCAAAACUGCAAUACAGAGACCUAUUAAAACUGGAUCCCUCCUUAAAUAUUGUAACUCUUGUAAUAGACUAUUUAAUAUGGGGUCCGCAUAGAUGAAGUAGUGGUUCUCUACAUUAAAAAAACUAGAAAGGAUUAACGAC
Molecule: long non-coding RNA, 2350 nt
Filed under: Triticum aestivum (bread wheat)
Lineage: Eukaryota; Viridiplantae; Streptophyta; Magnoliopsida; Poales; Poaceae
Description: long non-coding RNA (TAES_LNC000424)
Source: RNAcentral